UGCCAAAUUUCAGCAUUUUUCGUUUCUUCUUCAUUUUCGCUCGUUUUCGCUCGUUUGGCCUCCGAUUCAUUUCAAAUCGCACCGAGACUCUCAAAACAUAUUUUCGAGCGUAUUUGCAUCAUUCUUUCAUCCAUGCUAAUGUCGGAUUUAGUUCAUGGUCCAACAUAACUUUUCGGGUUCCGUUUUCGCACCUACGCGCACCGAAACGCCCGAAUGCUCUUGAACUUCACCGAACUUCACCGGAACCAUUCAAAUGGCUUUCCAGCCAAAUGUACACCGUAACUUCAUAAUUUUAGAAGUCCGGUAUCUUACAAUAU
Molecule: long non-coding RNA, 317 nt
Filed under: Ananas comosus (pineapple)
Lineage: Eukaryota; Viridiplantae; Streptophyta; Magnoliopsida; Poales; Bromeliaceae
Description: long non-coding RNA (ACOM_LNC012080)
Source: RNAcentral